RNAcentral lists this non-coding RNA (98 nucleotides) under Alkalihalobacillus alcalophilus. Its description in RNAcentral is "pan motif". It matches the Rfam family "pan motif". The record is from RNAcentral. Lineage: Bacteria; Bacillati; Bacillota; Bacilli; Caryophanales; Bacillaceae.
UGGGCUGUAUCAAAAAUGGAACAGCACCAAUUCAACCUUUAUUUAUUAUAGCAUGUGAACAGGGUCUGCCUUGAUCCAAUUAGGACUAGGACAGAGGG